GAUGAAGAACGCAGCGAACUGCGAUAAGUAAUGUGAAUUGCAGAAUUCAGUGAAUCAUCGAGUCUUUGGACGCACAUUGCGCCCCCUGGUAUUCCGGGGGGCAUGCCUGUCCGAGCGUCAUUGCUGCCCUCAAGCACGGCUUGUGUGUUGGGCCCCGUCCUCCGAUCCCGGGGGACGGGCCCGAAAGGCAGCGGCGGCACCGCGUCCGGUCCUCGAGCGUAUGGGGCUUUGUCACCCGCUCUGUAGGCCCGGCCGGCGCUUGCCGAUCAACCCAAAUUUUUAUCCAGGUUGACCUCGGAUCAGGUAGGGAUACCCGCUGAACUUAAGCAUAUCAAUAAGCGGAGGA
Molecule: unclassified non-coding RNA, 346 nt
Filed under: soil metagenome
Description: partial contains 5.8S ribosomal RNA, internal transcribed spacer 2, and large subunit ribosomal RNA
Rfam family: 5.8S ribosomal RNA (bases 1-120)
Source: RNAcentral